Molecule: small RNA, 159 nt
Filed under: human gut metagenome
Description: Clostridiales-1 RNA
Rfam family: Clostridiales-1 RNA
Source: RNAcentral
CCAGAAUCUAAAGGUCAAAAAGCUUUCAUGCUUGCAUGAAAAAGCUUUUGAACUUGAGAUUCGCCCAAACAUGAGAAAUUGCGAUUUACUAUGUAAAUCAGCAAAUUUCGAAUGUUUGUAGGAUUGUGGGAGCAACUUGUUGCGAAACAAUCCGUGGUA